CAUCUAGACUGUGAGCUUCUAGA
This 23-nucleotide microRNA is filed under the name Bos taurus (domestic cattle). RNAcentral describes it as "Bta-Mir-708_3p* (star (passenger))". Lineage: Eukaryota; Metazoa; Chordata; Mammalia; Artiodactyla; Bovidae. RNAcentral also lists the same sequence under 1 other name. The record is from RNAcentral.